CCUACGGGAGGCAGCAGUGAGGAAUAUUGGUCAAUGGUCGGGAGACUGAACCAGCCAAGCCGCGUGAGGGAUGAAGGUACAGAGUAUCGUAAACCUCUUUUGUCAGGGAACAAAGGCGGGGACGUGUCCCCGGAUGAGUGUACCUGAAGAAAAAGCAUCGGCAAACCCCGUUCCAGCAGCCGCGGUAAUACGGGGGAUGCGAGCGUUAGCCGGAUUUAUUUGGGUAAAAGGGUGCGAAGGCGGUCCGUUAAGUCCGCGGGAAAGGCCCGGGGCUCAACCCCGGCCCGCCGUUGAAACUGGCAGUCUCGAGUUGGAGAGAAGUAUGCGGAAUGCGCGGUGUAGCGGUGAAAUGCAUAGAUAUCGCGCAGAACUCCGAUUGCGAAGGCAGCAUGCCGGCUCCACACUGACGCUGAGGCACGAAAGCGUGGGUAUCGAACAGGAUUAGAUACCCGAGUAGUC
This 459-nucleotide ribosomal RNA is filed under the name uncultured bacterium. RNAcentral describes it as "partial 16S ribosomal RNA". It matches the Rfam family "Bacterial small subunit ribosomal RNA", at positions 338 to 795 of the family's 1533-position model. The record is from RNAcentral.